RNAcentral lists this ribosomal RNA (255 nucleotides) under uncultured bacterium. RNAcentral describes it as "partial 16S ribosomal RNA". It matches the Rfam family "Bacterial small subunit ribosomal RNA", at positions 524 to 776 of the family's 1533-position model. The record is from RNAcentral.
GACAUAGGUCGCAAACGUUAUCCGGAAUUAUUGGGCGUAAAGGAUGCGUAGAUGGUUCAGUAAGUUACUGGUGGGAAAUCGAGGCCCAACCUCGUGGAAGUUAGUAAUACUGUUGAACUUGAGUGCAGGAGAGGUUAACGGAACUUCAUUUGGAGCGGUAAAAUGCGUAGAUAUAUGAAAGAACAUCAAUAUGGCGAAGGCAGUUAACUAUUCUGCUACUGACAUUGAGGCAUGAAAGCGUGGGGAGCAAAACGG